GCCCUUGUGGUCUUUAAUUCUAUGAUUCCAUGACUACAACUCUGGAAACCAGAGUUCGAUUCCCUGCUGGGCCA
Molecule: non-coding RNA, 74 nt
Organism: Phrynosoma platyrhinos (Desert horned lizard)
Lineage: Eukaryota; Metazoa; Chordata; Lepidosauria; Squamata; Phrynosomatidae
Source: the annotation of a GenBank genome assembly